RNAcentral lists this ribosomal RNA (315 nucleotides) under uncultured bacterium. Its description in RNAcentral is "bacterial SSU rRNA". It matches the Rfam family "Bacterial small subunit ribosomal RNA", at positions 28 to 334 of the family's 1533-position model. The record is from RNAcentral.
GAUGAACGCUAGCUACAGGCUUAACACAUGCAAGUCGAGGGGCAUCAGGGAUUUAGCUUGCUAAAUUCGCUGGCGACCGGCGCACGGGUGCGUAGCGCGUAUCCAACUUUCCCGUUACUCUCGGAUAGCCUUCCGAAAGGGAGAUUAAUACGAGAUGGUGUUUUAAUUCCGCAUGUUAUUAAAACUAAAGAUUUAUCGGUAACGGAUAGGGAUGCGUGACAUUAGAUAGUUGGCGGGGUAACGGCCCACCAAGUCCACGAUGUCUAGGGGUUCUGAGAGGAAGGUCCCCCACACUGGAACUGAGACACGGUCCAG